UGAGGAUGUCUGUAGGUCAUGUGCAAAUUAUAUUAAGCAAUUUAUAGUAAGGACUUGAAACACUGAUUUUGGCCUUGGAGAGCGUCCUGGAACCAAUCCCUUGAAGGGCAAAAUAGCAGGGGUCACUGUCGUUGGUGCUGGACUCCUUGAGUUGCUGGCCACAGGAUCUUUGGGAAUUGGGACCCUAUCUCUGGAAAGCUCCCAGGUGUGGCCUGCCCAGCCCUGAAUGAGCCCUGGACUUGAAGCCAUCGAUUCUUCCCCUUCCUCUGGAGCUGUCAGGACCCAGCUCCAAAGGGCAGCAGCUCCCAGGAGCUGACAGGACGGCAGAGCUCGCUUGAAGGUCCAGGAGAGGAGUUUAAGAAGGGAAGGAGAGGCUGCCACCCGUGGGCCCGGAUCACAUGCCUCUGCCAUGCACAGGUAAGGGCGAGCCACUAUAGAAGGCAGAGUUUUCUUUUAAAUUACACUAAUGGCUAAUGUUUAUAGAGAUGUGCUAGGCCUGGUGCUGAGAACCACAACUCUUCAUUUGAUCUGACGUCCCCAGACUUCCUCACCUGAUAGAUGGCAAAACUGAGAUUCAAAGAGGUGAAAUGACUGUCCCAAGGCCACAGAGUGCAGCAGAGGGGCUGCCAUUUGAACCACCUGGCUCUAGAGCUCCCUUGUUGCCCCACUCCUGGAGUCUCCAGAAGAACUUCAGAAUUCUGGAGCUCAGGACUGGUUCCAGACACAGCCAGGGCACCCAAGGGCCUGAGGAGUCACAGUCCGAUUCCAAGACACAUGGAGGUUGAGAGGCAUCCUCCAGGUGCCCAGCCACCCCAGGGCCACCUGGUGCCUGUCCUCUCCUGGGGACUCACCACUCCAGCAACUCCUACUCUUUCUCCUCCACCAGCCACGCGGGGCGUGGGGCAGAGAGAACCAGGAUUUUAUCAAGACAAAGAACAAAAGUCGUGGGGGAAAGAAGCCAAGAGCCAUCUCCCCUGUGGGGUAGGGCCCUUCAGUUUUGCCCCUUUGAAAUUUCAAAUUCCAGUUUGUGGACAAAGUCCUAACUAUCUCACAAUAUAGGUUCCCAACUGCUGACCAAACUCCAGUCUAGCCGCCACCUGGCCCCAGGCUGGCCCAGUCUGGCUGCUUCCCGACAGCUCCCAAGAUCUGGGGUAGGAGGCCAAGGGCAGCUGGGGACCGCCAAGGACCCCCACCUCCCACCUGAGAGGACAGCUUCCUGCCCAGAGUUGGGAUCUGAUGCUUCCUGGUCUCAACAGCAGAUGCCAGGUAGGCGCCCUGGCGGUCUGGGCCUCUGGGCUCCUCCUGGAGCCCCCAACGGACCACCUGCUCACACUGCCAUGGCUUAAUCCCCAAGGGACCCCACAGCACUGGACAGGCUGUGUCCCUGACCCACUCCUUUGGCACAUGGAGACACUGAGGCUGUCGGCAAAUGGAAGCUGCUGCAGUUUGAAGAGUGGAGCUGGCCAGAGACCAGGGGCCCCUCCCUGAGCCCCAAAGGCUGGAAGGGACUUGGGAAUUGCUCCAGGCCACUCAGUGGUGGCAGGUAAGCUUGGACUGAACAAGGAGGUCAGUCCCCUUCGCUUCCUCUCCUACAGACCGUGGAUGGCCCUGUGUGUUUGUCCACUCAGUGACUGAUGGCCACCAGGUUGCCCCAGGAGCAUUUCCGAGAGGAAGACGAGGGAGCUGGGGCUGAAGGCCAGUGGGAUUGGAAGGAAACACUAUUCACAUGGUUAACUGAUAACUGGGCCCCAUCCCCGGGCCUCCACAGGCCUCUUUCCUCCCUCCCUCUCCUCAGCAUGAUUAAGAUGAACUUACCUGCCUGCUAAUCAUUGCUGAGACUGUUGAUUUUGCCUUAAAAAAUUAACUGGGCAUGAGUUUGCGGUUUGCCUCACCCCUAACCCUGAAAAGGCCUGGGUGGGCAGGAGGCCUCCUGGGUUAUGCAAGAGGCCGCUGGCCUCCCCACGCGCAUCCCGUGGCCUCCUCUGCCGUUCUCCAAAGGGGAGUUUUGCUCAAGAGUCAACAGUCUGCCUGUCCCCCUGCCGGGUCCUGAGCAAAUUUGCUCUGUUACCAAAGAGAGAUAAAAACACUGUGGAAUGGGGGUGGGGGGAACUUUCCAAAUGGGGAUGUGAAGCAGUGGCUUUGAGCUUGGGUUUCUAGAAUCCUGCAGCAUCAGAGCCAAGAGAACCUUUCGGAGGAUGUGGGCUGGGGCUUUUUAUUUUUAUUUGACUUUUCAAAGCAGCUUCUGGUGUUCCCAGGAGCCCACAGAUUGAUGCUCUCUUAGGUGUGAUCUUUCUUAAUGUUUCCAUUGAGAGAAGGGAGACCACAGGUGCAGCCUCAGCCCCUCAGUGUGCAGAUGGGAAAAGAGGCCAGGGGAGGGGUGGGUGCCUCAGACAAGAACACAGGCCACCCAGGUAUCCUGGGUCUCCAGCCGAGACAGGGAUAACAGGUACUCUCUGGACCUGAAUGACAUGUUGAAGGACAUCAGGGAACAAGGUGGCUGCAUGCACAUCUUCCCCUGCCAUCCCCCUCUUCUUGGAGGGCAGAAGUAAGCAGAGAGGUGUCCUGAGAGUCCUGGAAGAUCCCACGGCAGGGGACUUCACCUGUAGUGUGUUCUGUGGUCCUCUGAGGAGCAGGACCAGCAGCAUGAGCUGCAAACCAGACUCUGUCACAGCCCCUCUUGGCCAACCCUGCCCUGACUCUCGGUCCCUCCGAACCUCAGUUUCUCUCCCUGUAAAUUGGGAACAAUACCUACCUAACUCCUAGGGUUGUCAGGAGGGUGAACGGAGUAAAAAGCAUUCAUUGAUAAUGAGGGCCAAUGUGCAUGCAGCUGUUUCGGGGGGGCUAUCCAUCCGUGUUAGCUCAUGAAUUCUUACACCACCCUAACACAGACAGUGUUUUUAUCACCAUUUUGUGGAGCAUGGGCACAGAAUGAUUGAGUCAUGCGCUCAAGCCCACUCAGCUGAUAAGAAAUAAGUUAGGAUUCAAGUCCAAACUGAUUGCAGAAUCUGUGCUCCUAACCCUAAAGCACCCUGCCUUUCCAGGAAUGUACGUAGUAAGGGCUCAAGGAAAGCUGGUCAGUAGAGGGGCAUGGAAGUCCCUCUGGUCAGAGAUCAGGGCAUUGCAGGAGCUGCUGAGUUUGAGGUAGAGAGGAUGGCCAGAGGCUGAGCCAUCAGGAGGAAAGCCAGGACCCAGUCUGUGUGGGCGGAGCCGCCCUGUGGGUUGCCUGCCUGCUGCCAGGGGGGCGUUCCUGUUCUCCUGUUUAUGUUCAUCUCUUCUGUUUAUGUUCCUGACUUUAUCUGCAGGGGUGACCUUGGGGAAUUAGAUGGGGCCUAGCCUGCCCUCAUGGGGCCUGAAGGGUGAUGGGAAGUUCCUGCUCAGUCCAGGCCCUCGACUCAGGGAUAAAAGUCGCCCUUAGCCUCUCUGGAUCCCUCCUGAGGGGCUUCAGGGAUUUGUCUGGAGGUCACUGCGGUGAAAGAUUUGCAAGUCCUGAGACUUAGGCCAGGAUCACUGUGUACAGUUGUACAAGCUGCUCCCCACACGCAUGUUCUCUAGCCAAGAUGGUUGAGUGGGGGUAGAAAUCCAGCCCUUGCUCCAAAGCCCAUGAACUUUGCCUGCCUGGAGGGGGAUGUCUUUUUCUUAUUUGCACAAAGAAUCCAUGUAAGCUACUAGGAGCUCUGCCCCAGCUCUGUUUCCAGCCACUGUGUGACCUCGGACAAAGCCCAUCCCUUCCUGGCCUUGGAUUCCUGUUUGGGAAGUUGUGUCUAGCAUAAAGCAGAGAUUCAAUCUAGAUAGUGAAACAGAAUCACCUGGGAUCUUAAAAAAAUAUAUAGAUGCUCAGCUGCUCGGGUAGCUCAGUGGUAGAGCAGAGAGCAAGUUGUUCCAUUCUCAGCCCUAAAGCAAAACACUGAGGCCCAGGCUGGGUGAUACGCCAGUGAUCAAAUCUUAGGGUAGCAGUGAGUAGUGCUCGGCUUCAGUAGUUUUUGAAAUCCCUGGAUGAUUCUGAUCAUCCAGGAUGAUUCAGGCCCAUCACAGAAGGCUUGACAUUUUGAAGUGGAAAGACCUUGACACAGGUCUGAGUUUUCCAACUAAGUGCAGCUUACUAUUCAGAACUUCAGGGAGGAUUGGUUUCCCCAUCUGUAAAAUGGACCCACAACUCCCUCACAAUGUCAGAAUGCUGAGUCAGCGGAUGACAUCCUGAGAUGGUCCCUGAUUCUUGGUGCCAAUGGCUGUUAUUGUUACUGUCAAUAAAAUAUUGGUAUCAAGUAAAAGGCCCUUCCAGGCCAAGCGUUCAGGGACAUGGAGCCAGGCUUUCUCUGUUCCUUGGAUGCCCAUCUUCUCUGCCCACCUGUCCUAUUAUUGAAGUUGUGUGGUGAUGAUGAUGAUGAUGAUCUGAUUUGUUAGACAUUGCACAUUUAUUUCUGAAUCAUUAACGACCUUCACAUGGCUCAGAAUCAGAUGUGAAAAAGGUACCCUGUUGAGAAGCCCGGUCCGCUCUGCCUGCUGCUGCCUGAGCUCUCCACCUCUUUACCACCCUUCCUCAUUUUCCUACUUUCUCAUGGAUCUUUCUUGAAAGUCUUUCACGGAAGUACAAGAAUCUAUAAGAUCACAGGUCGUCAGCCCUGCCUCCCACACUGUCCUGCCUCCUGCCUGUUUCCUUGACCAUUAUGGCCUGCAGAUUUUCCCAUAGCAGUUGAGAGCCAGCUUUGGGAGAAAACAGGCUCUGGGAGGGAGCGUUGUUUUCCCAGGAAGCCAAGUCAGUCAUGUUUGAACUCUCUCUCCUUGGCUCCAGAGCCCAUGUCUGUCCCCUGAACUGAAGUGGCCUUCCAGGAACCCAGGCCUCAGGAGUUUGGGAGCCAGGCAUAAACUGGUGCAGCACAGACCUGGCCUUCCCGGGCAUAAGGGAAGGUGGGGUUGGGUGGGCUGUUAGGGCCUCUCCUGUUUCUGGGCCCUGAAGACCCAAAGACAGGCUAAAGUAUGGAAUAAGUCAUCCAAAUAGGGACCCAGUGAGGGGUGUCCCCUGGAUGGGACGUCAUGGCCUGGUGGCCCUGCCAUCCAGCACUGUAGAACCUGCAAGCUCAGAGUGUGCUGGCAGCAGCAAGGUCCAAAGGAGGAGGGGCAGGGAGGAAGGGAAGCCUAGCCAAUGGGACGGCCAAUGCAGAGCCCUGGGGGACCCAUUCCUGGAGGGCAGGAUUUGGAAUUCAAGACAGAAGUGGUGAGGACAGCUUAGCCCACAUUUUCUGUGCAGGCGAAUUCAGGGUCCCCCUGGAUCCUUGACCUGCUCAGAGCACUGACUGAGCAAGUCAAGCUCGCUCUCUGCGCCUCAGCUGCAAAAUGAAGAUUAGACAGCUGGUCUUUGGGCAGCCUUGAAGCACCCCUAAAGGCAUCUUUGGGGGCUCCCUCUCCUUGUUGAGGGAAUCUGAAUCCUGUUUUGACCAGAAUAUCAUUCACCUAUCAGGGCCCUUGGCCUUCCUGGAUGGGGGCUGGGGAUAAAAGUCUCCACACUGCUUCAAAGUCCAGCCUCCUCCCCCCAGUUCUGUGUCUCCCUCCUGCCACCCCAUAUUCCUUCCAGGCAAAUGCAGAGGCAGGACCAUACCUGGUGGGUCCUGGGGGAAGCCCUGGCCCCCGUCCGACAUCCUCCUCCCGGUGCUAUGGGGUCCCGCACAGUGGGCAACCUCUUCAUCCCUGAGUCAACCCCUGCUGCCACCCUGGCACCCUAGACCCUGUGGGGACUGCUGGGCAGAGUUAAUCCCUUAAUACUGGUCACAAUGAGAUUUCAGGGAUGGUGGGAGGCGGUCUCCAUGGAGACCGAAGACCUGUCCAGGACCCACGCAAGGAAUUAGCCCCAGGCCUCUGCAAGGGGCCCCUAGAGACCCAACCCAAACAGUGGGAGACGCCGGGCCUGCAGGCCUGGGUCUGGCCUCCUGCUCUCUGUGUUCUUUUGCUGAACAGGUGAGAUGCAUUCAUGGGAGCCUGCGUCACCUUUCUGAGACAGAUUCUUUAUCCUCCAUUUGGGGUUCUGGGCCUCAAUCAACUUUUCUAGAAGAGUGCCACUUUGGGAGUCUGUUAGACCUGAAUUUGAUGCUCAGCUUUUCUGUCUCAGACUGCCUCAGGCCAAGCACUGCGCUUCUCUGAGCCUCAGUUUCCU
RNAcentral lists this long non-coding RNA (6145 nucleotides) under Marmota monax (woodchuck). Lineage: Eukaryota; Metazoa; Chordata; Mammalia; Rodentia; Sciuridae. The record is from RNAcentral.